RNAcentral lists this non-coding RNA (33 nucleotides) under unclassified sequences. RNAcentral describes it as "DUF805b RNA". It matches the Rfam family "DUF805b RNA". From Rfam's summary of the family: Bacteroidetes, Chlorobi (1 example), Proteobacteria. Lineage (Flavobacteria) The record is from RNAcentral.
CAAGAGGAUGCCGAAAAUCUUACAGAGUAGGCA